Morone saxatilis (striped sea-bass) is the source of this 1079-nucleotide long non-coding RNA. RefSeq lists it as uncharacterized. The transcript is spliced from 3 exons. NCBI's taxonomy places the organism in Eukaryota, Metazoa, Chordata, Actinopteri, Moronidae. The record is from RefSeq and is a predicted model, not a curated record.
GCACUAAGAAGGGACCAGUUGAAGCAGAUAUAUCUUGAUCAGGAAAUAGCGAAUCACAGAGGGCUGCUUGAUCCACCAGCUUGCAAAGCUGGAAGAGAGGGAGGCUUGGAGCUUGAGUGAUGCCAUGAUCUUUAGGCUGGAACAGGAAGGAAAUCUGGCUCGCCUGUAAGGGGACCAUCACGCAGAGCUAGGCAAGCACUCUGCCGACCGUCCAAGGAGGUGGUUGCGGUCUCCAGCAGAUUAUCAAUGCCAUGGUUGGGAUCCUUGUGGAGAGUAUCAUGGUCUGGAUCAGACAUCAGCUUUGCUACCAACACCAAGACACUGUAAAAGGAUGCUAUACUGAGGGCUACACAGACAGGACAAGGCCAAGAAGUUUGGGAUUUAACAUGGCAGCACACAGAUGUUGGAUCAGAUUUAACAAUUCUGCUGUACUUGUAUCAAAAACACUUUGUGCUGACUGAGUUAAAUGUCCUAUAAAGUUCAGAGGAUUACAGUACACUAUUCACAACUGAGGAGGCUAACAACCCAGCCAAAAGGGGAAAAACACUGAAUCAUCCAUGGAUACCGACGACCUAAAUACCACAGACAUACAGGCUGAAGAGCAUGUGGCAGCCAGUGUUCCGCUGUAAGCUGAGUAAGCCGAGCAAACCCCUGACUAUGGUAGUUCCCAGCCCUCCAUCUCUCUCCCGUCUCCUUCCCCCUCCCUGCCUUCAUCCACAUACCUCCAUCCCUCCUUUCUCUGUCUCUCUGUCAGUUUCCAUGCUUCCUCCAUGCCUUCGUCUAUCUCUCCCGCUGUUUGCUUUUAACUCUUGAGGUCAUCCGGGACCCCUGGGCAGCUAUCCCAGAAUGCUGAGCCGGCUAACGUCCUGCGGAGUUGCCUUCUGGACAGAGCGGACAACCGAGCCAGGACUCGAUCGGUGCUCGGACUCAACCAUGUAUUCAGCCACUGCUACACCCAGAAAAAAGAGGGAUCUUCAAAGGUUCUUUGGUUAGGGUGGUGGUUCUAUAUCGAAUUGUAAUAACUACAGCAAACCUCUGAUUGUUAAAUGUACUACAUGUAGCACUGUAACAUCAAUAAA